GCAAACUGUUGGUGAUUGUAAUAGUAUGCAAAAUAGAACCUGAAUGAUGAAAUUGCGGUUAACUUUCGAUGUGGAAAAAAAGCUGAGCCAAACUUUGAAAGUUUCCACCACUUCCACUUUUCAGCCAAUAUAAGGGCUUGGCUGGGCAUCAGUGGUGGAGAGAUCCAUCCACCUGCUAACAGCCAACCACAGCCACAGCGACAAUGAAAUACUUUCUCCUGACCGUUGUGCUUUUUUCCUGGAUCGCUGUAUUUCAAGCAUUGCACAGAGAUCUGCCUUAUAAUAAAUGCCGUUGUCAGAGCAUGGCAACCAACUGUGUGAAUAUCAACCCGAAAGCUGUGAAGGAAGUCCAGAUCAUCCCGAAGACGGCCCUAUGCCACCGCACUGAGAUCUUGAUUACCCGGAAGAACAACACAACCAUUUGCCUGCACCCGAAUGCACCAUGCAUCAAAAAGGCCAUUGAAAAAUUUGUAAAAUGAGGAUCAAGGAUUCUGAUGACAGCUAAACAUCAAGAUAAAAUAACAUACAAGUUAAACAAAAUUUUUU
This 546-nucleotide long non-coding RNA is filed under the name Scleropages formosus (Asian bonytongue). Its description in RNAcentral is "lncRNA (ENSSFOG00015024518.1)". The record is from RNAcentral. Lineage: Eukaryota; Metazoa; Chordata; Actinopteri; Osteoglossiformes; Osteoglossidae.